UUCCACUUACGCUGUGUACAGUGGGUUUUGAAGAACAUUCAGAGGACAGCUGCCUUAGUUCUCCUGAAAAGCAUCUCAGCAGCCACCUUGCUAUCCUAACUUCUUCUGGACUGGACUACACUGGUUUGCAGGGCAGCAUUCUUGCUUUCUGGGCUCUUUCAAGGGUUCGUCAGUAACACCUACUGAGGGAUAAGGUGACUCCUGUUUAGCUGUCACCGAGACCCAUUCACCUGGAGAAGAAAGACAUGUUGUUUUUGACAAGUCACUUCAGGACAUGGAAACUUGGGGAUCUACUGGUCUGGAAGAUAUGAGUAGCAAACAAUUCAGAAGUAGUUGGGAGAAAUGACCUCCACGUCCCACAGUCCACAGUCCCAUCUCCACAGUUCUGUAGGAGCACCAUCUUUGCAGGCUCGAAAGCAAAUCACUGUAAGAGGUGAUGGACCCACUAGAAGAAUGAAAUGAGUCCAGGCCACAAGCAGUUGCAAAAUCCCAGGAUACCUGUCACCCUGUCACUUUUAUUAGAGAAGAAGCCCCACUAAAAUGAGUGUAUUACUCGGCUGUCAUGGGAAGAGCUUACUCCUUCAGUGGAUCGGAAGAAAAUACAGAGACCACGACUGGAUAAUGUGCCAAAACCAGGGGACAUUAAGUCCUAAGUCUCCAUCAAAUCUGUCUGCUCAGGACUCAAGGAACCCUUCAGAAAAAGAGACAGAAAGAGUUUAGGAGCCAGCAGGGAUGGGGAACACCAAAGAAGCCAUGCAUAAGUAGACGGACACAUAUGUGCACUCACAGAGACUGCAGC
Molecule: long non-coding RNA, 799 nt
Organism: Mastomys coucha (southern multimammate mouse)
Lineage: Eukaryota; Metazoa; Chordata; Mammalia; Rodentia; Muridae
Exons: 4
Source: RefSeq, a predicted model, not a curated record